CAGUUAGAACACUAGUAUAUUGGCUUCCACACAUGCAAGUCGAGGGGCAUCAGGAAGAAAGCUUGCUUUCUUUGCUGGCGACCGGCGCAGAUGGGUGAGUAACACGUAUCCAACCUGCCCUUUACUCGGGGAUAGCCUUUCGAAAGAAAGAUUAAUACCCGAUAGUAUAAUGAUUCCGCAUGUUUCCUUAUUAAAGGAUUCCGGUAAAGGAUAGGAUGCGUUCCAUUAGGUUGUUGGUGAGGUAACGGCUCACCAAGCCUUCGAUGGAUAGGGUAUCUGAGAGGAAGGUCCCCCACAUUGGAACUGAGACACGGUCCAAACUCCUACGGGAGGCAGCAGUGAGGAAUAUUGGUCAAUGGGCGGUCGUGNAAACCAGCCAAGUAGCGUGAACAAUGAAGGCUCUAUGGGUCGUAAACUUCUUUUAUAUAAGAAUAAAGUGCAGUAUGUAUACUGUUUUGUAUGUAUUAUAUGAAUAAGGAUCGGCUAACUCCGUGCCUAUAGCCGCGGUUUUACGGAGGAUCCGAGCGUUAUCCGGAUUUAUUGGGUUUAAAGGGAGCGUAGGUGGCCUGGUAAGUCAGUUGUGAAAGUUUGCGGCUCAACCGUAAAAUUCAGAGUUGAUACUGUCAGUCUUAAGUACAGUAGAGGUGGGCGGCCUUACGUGGUGUAGCGGUGAAAUGCUUAGAUAUCACGAAGAACUCCGAUUGCGAAGCAGCUCACUGGACUGCAACUGACACUGAUGCUCGAAAGUGUGGGUAUCAAACAGGAUUAGACCCCUGGUAGUCCACACAGUAAACGAUGAAUACCGCUGUUUGCGAUAUACAGUAAGCGGCCAAGCGAAACNAUUAAGUAUUCCACCUGGGGAGUACGCCGACAACGUGAAGAUUCAAAGGAAUUGACGGGGGCCCGCACAAGCGGAGGAACAUGUGGUUUAAUUCGAUGAUACGCGAGGAACCUUACCCGGGCUUAAAUUGCAGUGGAAUGAUGUGGAAACAUGUCAGUGAGCAAUCACCGCUGUGAAGGUGCUGCAUGGUUGUCGUCAGCUCGUGUAGAGGUGUCGGCUUAAGUGCCAUAACGAGCGCAACCCUUAUCUUUAGUUACUACCAGGUCAUGCUGAGGACUCUGGAGAGACUGCCGUCGUAAGAUGUGAGGAAGGUGGGGAUGACUUAUAAUCAGCACGGCCCUUACGUCGGGCUACACACGUGUUACAAUGGGGGGUACAGAAGGCAGCUAGCGGGUGACCGUAUGCUAAUCCCAAAAGCCUCUCUCAGUUCGGAUCGAAGUCUGCAACCCGACUUCGUGAAGCUGGAUUCGCUAGUAAUCGCGCAUCAGUACACGGCGCGGUGAAUACGUUCCCGGGCCUUGUCACACCGCAAAACUAGCCAUGGGACCCGGGGAUACCUUACAGUACGUAACCGCAAGUUCGUCCUUAACAG
This 1433-nucleotide ribosomal RNA is filed under the name uncultured bacterium. RNAcentral's name for it is "bacterial SSU rRNA". It matches the Rfam family "Bacterial small subunit ribosomal RNA". The record is from RNAcentral.